RNAcentral lists this long non-coding RNA (3394 nucleotides) under Daphnia magna. Its description in RNAcentral is "uncharacterized LOC116932234, transcript variant X11". Lineage: Eukaryota; Metazoa; Arthropoda; Branchiopoda; Diplostraca; Daphniidae. The record is from RNAcentral.
UCAGGAUUCGUCUGAUUUGCUAUUUGACGCGCCCCAGAUUCAGUUUCAGAUUCAGUUCAUAUUAUAUCGUGCUGAGAUCUGAGAAUCUCAGCUACUUGAUGAGACCCUGGUCUCCCAAUGGCAAUCCAUGCUUGCUCCAUUUUAAAAAUGUUUACUGAUCUCCCACCACCUACGUUGCUUUCAAUGACAUCGGCACUUAAAGGAGUUGUACUUGGACCUAAAUCUGCUAGCAGAAAAAAUUAGAAAGAAAAAAAUUUUCCAAGGAAUUUAAUGCAAAGAACUAAAAAACUGCCCUUCAUCUCAUGGAAGUAAAUGGAGGUCAGAGAAUGUGCGGAAUGAGUAUUGGUUACUGUCAUAUUUCUUUCCAACAUCUACUUUGUUAAUUCUGGAGUACAUUUGAUUAAUUUUGUAAUUCCCAACAUAAAGUUUGAUCCAUCAAGAGGCUGGAGAACUGCAGAAAUGAAGAAUUCUUCCUACCCCUGUUGACUGUGCUAAAAUGAAGCACAACUGUAGUGUGCUUCAAAGAAGGAUAAACAGCAACAAUGUUGAUAAUGACAUAAUCAUAAAACUUCGAAGUCUAGCAUCGUCAGUUGAUUCGUAGGUUGAAAUUCCGCGGAGACUAUACACGCAUUCUUCAGUUUAAGUACUGACAGGUGACAUGUAAAGUUGAAUUUAUGCGUGGUGAUGACACAAACUUGUGGAGAUUCGCUGACAAAAAGUUGGGCAUGACCUCCGAUGUUCGAAGGUCCGAAAAGUGAUUGGUUUACUACAUCAAGAUAAUUUUUCGUCGUGUCUAAGAUGUCGCUAGUUAUAUCCCUUGCUUCAAGCAUCAUUUGUUGAAAAAAAUAGCCGUGCGGCAAAAAGUACAUUCCAAAUGUGACUGUAUUGCACGGUUUCUAGAGACGGCUUACGAUGGUGGACAUUUUACCGUGUCAAAUGAAAACGACUGAUUCAAGCUGCUUCGAUCAUUAAUUGAUACAAUGUUCGGACAUGGCAAAAUGUUGUACAAUACGAGGCAGUCUUCCUUGAGUUGGGCUGACGAGAAUCGCACUGUUAACGCAUCCGAGUUGUACGAAUUACUCAAGGCUUGCCUAUCUAAUGACCUCAAAAACUGUGUAGAUUUGGACGUUUACCGGCAUGUCUUGGAUGGGUCGGGGCAAGGCAGAUGGAAAUUGGCGAAUUUCUUGUGAUUUCAUGGUCAAUCUGAAACAAUGACAAACUGCGUUUCAUUUUACAGCAAAGAAGAGAUUGGCAUGUUUUUUGCCGAACGUUUCCGUGAUGUAGUUCGCGAUGUCGGAUUCCAAGUAAACUACCAUGUUCUUUCAGCACUCAUUUUACGACAUAUGCGAAAAGUUGGCACACUAGACACUACGUUUCGGAGAUUUCUUGUCGGCUGUCUUUCACAUCACCAUAGAAUGUGGUAUCAUUGUGUAUAAAAACUACUGAGGAGGAAUUCCGCCUCAUCUAAAAGGCAAAAGAAUCCUAGCUUAACUAUAAAUUACAAACAGAAAAAUUGGAAAACAAAGGGAAAGAAGAGACAGCAAAGAAAGAAAAAUAACAAGCCAGGAGGAAAAAGUAAGUAAGCAAAAAGUAAAGGAGAUUUUAGGGUAAAUACCCCCUCAUUUUUGGUGAUACAAUUUUUUAGUUAAGUCAAUGACACUGAUGUAUGCGGAUAUCCUUAAAGUACGGGAAGUCUUUGAAGAGACUGGAGAAUCCUAUAUCUUAUUCACAAACAGAAGUCUGAAGCGUAACUAGGAAAGAAGAAAUCUAAAAGGAAAAAGUACGGCAGUGGCUUAAAGUUGAUGAUUUAUUCUCAAAUGAACGACAGAAUUUGACUGCCAUGACUCAGCGAGCUGGAUUUUUACGAGUUAGACUUCAGUCAACUUCCAACCAUGAAUUGAUGCAGCAGUAAUACUCCGGACAAGCUGAAAGACCACACACACGGCAGAAACCGGCGAGAUCAUUGCAGCCAAUUUAAACGCCUUUAAAAAAACAAUCACAUGUGUACAUAUACUAUUUCCAUAGUUUUUUGCUGUUUUAUACGACUGGCCAUUGAUUCUCUGGUGUCAUUUGUCCCAUGUCUUUGAAGUUGAGCAAUUCCUUUUUCAACUCGCGUUGGUUGUAAAUUAGGAUAACAGAUGGCGAGACUGCACCUCUGUCUUUGUUUUGAAAAAACUAAGUGUGACAAGUGAAACCUAUGUUCGAAUAUUUGUGAACUGUUACAUUCCAGUGAUUAGUUUGAUAAAAUUAAAUGGUGUGAUUUCAACUAUUUAGAGUUUUUUAUUCUUUCUUGUGUUUUUGGAGUGAGAAAAAUCAAGUGGAUCAUUUUGUGUGCAAUGGGUAAACUUGUGAUCAGUUAUGCCAGCUACCAGAACCAAAUUAUUACUUUUACAUUCCCUUCAUGCUAUUCUAUUGCACAUUGAGAGAAGUAGUUGGUGAAAUCUAAAUAGCUAAAGAUAACAACCGUGAGGAAUAGUUAGAAAUGACACAAACUAUAUGAGUUGCCAUAUCAUCAUGAAAAUAACGUCAUUCUGCUACUCUUUACUCAUUCAUCAUGUCCUUGGCAGGAUUUUGAGUUGCUGGGUGUGCUCAUGUAUCUAUAAUGAAAAAAAUGCUGGCUUCAAAGAAAGAUCACCAACAAUGCAAAAUCGAUGGAUUGAAAUACCUCAAGUCAUUCUAUACUCUUUGCCCACUCAUCAUCUCAUCCAACACAUGCCUUCGCCUCGCCCGUCGCCACAUCUUCGCUUCGCCCGUCGCCCGGUCUUCGCUUCGCCCGUCGCCCCGUCUUCGCUUCGCCCGUCGCCCCAUCUUCGCUUCACCCGUCGUCCCGUCUUCGCUUCGCCCUUCGCUCCGUCUUCGCUUCGCCCGUCGUCUCGUCUUCGCCUCUUGGUCUCCCCCUCUUCAAUUCGCCCUUUCAUCGCCUCGUCUUUGUGGUAUCGUUGUAUUUUGUAAUGUGUAAUUGUGUAGUGUUAAUUAACCCGUUGGCUGCCACCCACUUUGAUCCCCUUUUUUUUAAAGCUUGUUAGGGUCCGGCAGCGCUGUUCUGCCCAAUGGUCUAUAUGCCAUGGGCGGGACAGUUGCACAAGCCGUGUGGCUCAAAGUCGAUCGUCGAGGCAAUGCACCAGUAGGGACUUCCCUUUUUUCGAUGUGGUGGUGGUUGCCUGGGGUGUGCAUUCCCAUAACGGCUUUCAUCAUCAUAUCAGCCCGGACUUGUCUUCGGACAAGUCCCCCUUGGUCGCUAUCCUUCCGAUAGCGAUGUAGCUAGAGUAGAUUUAGUGGCGUGGCAGCCAACGGGUUAGUUUUAUUUAUGUAUGUUUUGUAUUGGGUUUUAAAAUGUAAAAACUUGUGGUGGAUUUGUGGGUGGAAGGAGGGACAAUAAAUACUUUUGCAUACA